GAUGGUGUAGCUUAGUGGGAGAGCAUUUGUCUAUCAUGUUCAAAGUCCUGGGUUUGAUCCCCAGCACCACCA
This 72-nucleotide transfer RNA is filed under the name Fukomys damarensis (Damara mole-rat). It matches the Rfam family "tRNA". Rfam says of the family: Transfer RNA (tRNA) molecules are approximately 80 nucleotides in length. Their secondary structure includes four short double-helical elements and three loops (D, anti-codon, and T loops). The record is from Rfam by way of RNAcentral. Lineage: Eukaryota; Metazoa; Chordata; Mammalia; Rodentia; Bathyergidae.